This 27-nucleotide non-coding RNA is filed under the name Bombyx mori (domestic silkworm). The record is from RNAcentral. Lineage: Eukaryota; Metazoa; Arthropoda; Insecta; Lepidoptera; Bombycidae.
UGAUAUUAAUCCGCUCGAUUCAUCGAC